GAUGAACGCUAGCGGCAGGCUUAACACAUGCAAGUCGAGGGGCAGCGCGAUGUAGCAAUACAUUGGCGGCGACCGGCGCACGGGUGCGUAACACGUAUGGAACUUACCCUUUACUGGGAGAUAGCCCGGAGAAAUCCGGAUUAAUAUCCCAUAAUAAACGAAGUGGCAUCACUUUGUUUUGAAAGCUCCGGCGGUAAAGGAUGGCCAUGCGCACGAUUAGCUAGUAGGUGGGGUAACGGCUCACCUAGGCUACGAUCGUUAGGGGGCCUGAGAGGGUUAUCCCCCACACUGGUACUGAGACACGGACCAGACUCCUACGGGAGGCAGCAGUGAGGAAUAUUGCGCAAUGGAGGCAACUCUGACGCAGCCAUGCCGCGUGCAGGAAGAAGGCGCUACGCGUUGUAAACUGCUUUUAACCGGGAGAACCCUCCGACGUGUCGGAGGUUGACGGUACCGGAGGAAUAAGCACCGGCUAACUUCGUGCCAGCAGCCGCGGUAAAGU
RNAcentral lists this ribosomal RNA (502 nucleotides) under uncultured bacterium. RNAcentral describes it as "bacterial SSU rRNA". It matches the Rfam family "Bacterial small subunit ribosomal RNA", at positions 28 to 526 of the family's 1533-position model. The record is from RNAcentral.